RNAcentral lists this transfer RNA (57 nucleotides) under Cordylochernes scorpioides. RNAcentral describes it as "tRNA-OTHER". It matches the Rfam family "tRNA". Rfam says of the family: Transfer RNA (tRNA) molecules are approximately 80 nucleotides in length. Lineage: Eukaryota; Metazoa; Arthropoda; Arachnida; Pseudoscorpiones; Chernetidae. The record is from RNAcentral.
GGGGGUAUAGCUCAGUGGUAGAUCGAAAGGUCCGUGGUUCAACUCCGCGUAUUCUCU